RNAcentral lists this ribosomal RNA (216 nucleotides) under Glomeromycotina sp. Its description in RNAcentral is "partial small subunit ribosomal RNA". The stretch from base 40 to 216 matches the Rfam family "Eukaryotic small subunit ribosomal RNA", at positions 686 to 864 of the family's 1831-position model. Lineage: Eukaryota; Fungi; Glomeromycota. The record is from RNAcentral.
GGGUCAGUAGGUUGGUCGUGCCACCGGUACGUACUGGUCUCACUGAUUCCUCAUUCCUGAAGAACCGUAAUGCCAUUAAUUUGGUGUUGCGGGGAAACAGGACUGUUACUUUGAAAAAAUUAGAGUGUUUAAAGCAAGCUAACGCUUGAAUACAUUAGCAUGUAAUAAUGAAAUAGGACGAUCGAUCCUAUUUUGUUGGUUUCUAGGAUUGACGUA